GCUUAAAGGGGCCGUAGCUGGCCCGGGCAAGUCCGUCGGGAAAUCCACGCGCUUAACGCGUGGGCGUCCGGCGGAAACUGUUCGGCUUGGGACCGGAAGAUCCGAGGGGUACGUCUGGGGUAGGAGUGAAAUCCCGUAAUCCUGGACGGACCACCGAUGGCGAAAGCACCUCGGAAGGACGGAUCCGACAGUGAGGGACGAAAGCUAGGGUCUCGAACCGGAUUAGAUACCCGGGUAGUCCUAGCUGUAAACGAUGCUCGCUAGGUGUGGCACAGGCUACGAGCCUGUGCUGUGCCGUAGGGAAGCCGUGAAGCGAGCCGCCUGGGAAGUACGUCCGCAAGGAUGAAACUUAAAGGAAUUGGCGGGGGAGCACUACAACCGGAGGAGCCUGCGGUUUAAUUGGACUCAACGCCGGACAUCUCACCAGCUCCGACAGCAGUGAUGACGAUCAGGUUGAUGACCUUAUCCGACGCUGCUGAGAGGAGGUGCAUGGCCGCCGUCAGCUCGUACCGUGAGGCGUCCUGUUAAGUCUGGCAACGAGCGAGACCCGCACCUCUAGUUGCCAGCAGCAUCUCGCGAUGGCUGGGUACACUAGGGGGACUGCCGUCGCCAAGACGGAGGAAGGAACGGGCAACGGUAGGUCAGUAUGCCCCGAAUGAGCUGGGCUACACGCGGGCUACAAUGGCCAGGACAGUGGGACGCGACGCCGAGAGGCGAAGCUAAUCUCCUAAACCUGGUCGUAGUUCGGAUUGCGGACUGAAACUCGUCCGCAUGAAGCUGGAUUCGGUAGUAAUCGCGUGUCAGAAGCGCGCGGUGAAUACGUCCCUGCUCCUUGUACCCACCGCCCGU
RNAcentral lists this ribosomal RNA (849 nucleotides) under uncultured haloarchaeon. RNAcentral's name for it is "bacterial SSU rRNA". It matches the Rfam family "Archaeal small subunit ribosomal RNA", at positions 508 to 1353 of the family's 1478-position model. Lineage: Archaea; Methanobacteriati; Methanobacteriota; Halobacteria; Halobacteriales; Halobacteriaceae. The record is from RNAcentral.